This 301-nucleotide ribosomal RNA is filed under the name uncultured bacterium. RNAcentral's name for it is "partial 16S ribosomal RNA". It matches the Rfam family "Bacterial small subunit ribosomal RNA", at positions 509 to 807 of the family's 1533-position model. The record is from RNAcentral.
CAGCCGCCGCGGUAAUACGGAGGGUGCAAGCGUUAAUCGGAAUUACUGGGCGUAAAGCGUGCGUAGGCGGUUCGUUAAGUCUGUUGUGAAAGCCCCGGGCUCAACCUGGGAAUGGCAAUGGAAACUGGACGGCUAGAGUGUGUCAGAGGAUGGUGGAAUUCCCGGUGUAGCGGCGAAAUGCGUAGAGAUCGGGAGGAACAUCAGUGGCGAAGGCGGCCAUCUGGGACAACACUGACGCUGAAGCACGAAAGCGUGGGGAGCAAACAGGAUUAGAUACCCGCGUAGUCCCUGUCUCUUAUAC